UGGGGAAUAUUGCACAAUGGGCGCAAGCCUGAUGCAGCCAUGCCGCGUGUAUGAAGAAGGCCUUCGGGUUGUAAAGCACUUUCAGCGGGGAGGAAGGCGAUAAGGUUAAUAACCUUGUCCAUUGACGUUACCCGCAGAAGAAGCACCGGCUAACUCCGUGCCAGCAGCCGCGGUAAUACGGAGGGUGCAAGCGUUAAUCGGAAUUACUGGGCGUAAAGCGCACGCAGGCGGUCUGUCAAGUCGGAUGUGAAAUCCCCGGGCUUAACCUGGGAACUGCAUUCGAAACUGGCAGGCUAGAGUCUUGUAGAGGGGGGUAGAAUUCCAGGUGUAGCGAUGAAAUGCGUAGAGAUCUGGAGGAAUACCGGUGGCGAAGGCGGCCCCCUGGACGAAGACUGACGCUCAGGUGCGAAAGCGUGGGGAGCAAACAGG
This 429-nucleotide ribosomal RNA is filed under the name Chloroflexota bacterium. RNAcentral describes it as "Chloroflexi bacterium partial 16S ribosomal RNA". It matches the Rfam family "Bacterial small subunit ribosomal RNA", at positions 355 to 776 of the family's 1533-position model. The record is from RNAcentral. Lineage: Bacteria; Bacillati; Chloroflexota.